Micropterus dolomieu (smallmouth bass) is the source of this 328-nucleotide long non-coding RNA. RefSeq lists it as uncharacterized. The transcript is spliced from 3 exons. NCBI's taxonomy places the organism in Eukaryota, Metazoa, Chordata, Actinopteri, Centrarchiformes, Centrarchidae. The record is from RefSeq and is a predicted model, not a curated record.
GGAAAAGCCACGUCACAACACAGCCGGGGCAGCGUGGCGGUGCAGCACAGGCAGGGUCAUUGAGAGGUCCAGAGUCUAUCCUCAGCACACACUGAGCAAAAGGCAGGGAAUACACCAUGGAUGGAAAACACCCGUGACAGCAUCCGCGUCCUACUCUCCUGCUGGUCAGACCUGCUCUGAAGGACCCCAAGCGUAAAAAGACAGUGUCCACCAGACAAACAUCAGACAGAUGACUGAAGAAUGUGGCUAAAGUGCACCCAGCCAGUGUGAUGGAAAGAACAGAGAGAAUAAUACAGAUUCCCAGGUACUGCCAAACAAAGUUUGACGU